This 73-nucleotide transfer RNA is filed under the name Bos taurus (domestic cattle). It matches the Rfam family "tRNA". From Rfam's summary of the family: Transfer RNA (tRNA) molecules are approximately 80 nucleotides in length. Their secondary structure includes four short double-helical elements and three loops (D, anti-codon, and T loops). Further hydrogen bonds mediate the characteristic L-shaped molecular structure. tRNAs have two regions of fundamental functional importance: the anti-codon, which is responsible for specific mRNA codon recognition, and the 3' end, to which the tRNAs corresponding amino acid is attached (by aminoacyl-tRNA synthetases). tRNAs cope with the degeneracy of the genetic code in two manners: having more than one tRNA (with a specific anti-codon) for a particular amino acid; and 'wobble' base-pairing, i.e. permitting non-standard base-pairing at the 3rd anti-codon position. Lineage: Eukaryota; Metazoa; Chordata; Mammalia; Artiodactyla; Bovidae. The record is from Rfam by way of RNAcentral.
UCCCUGGUGGUCCAGAGGCUAAGAGUCUUGCUUCCAAAGCAGGUGGGGCCAGGUUCGAUCCCUGGUCAGGGUA